RNAcentral lists this ribosomal RNA (746 nucleotides) under uncultured Parvimonas sp. RNAcentral's name for it is "bacterial SSU rRNA". It matches the Rfam family "Bacterial small subunit ribosomal RNA", at positions 28 to 776 of the family's 1533-position model. The record is from RNAcentral. Lineage: Bacteria; Bacillati; Bacillota; Tissierellia; Tissierellales; Peptoniphilaceae.
GACGAACGCUGGUGGCGUGCUUAACACAUGCAAGUCGAACGUGAUUUUUGUGGAAAUUCUUUCGGGAAUGGAAAUGAAAUGAAAGUGGCGAACGGGUGAGUAACACGUGAGCAACCUACCUUACACAGGGGGAUAGCCGUUGGAAACGACGAUUAAUACCGCACGAGACCACAGAAUCGCAUGAUAUAGGGGUCAAAGAUUUAUCGGUGUAAGAAGGGCUCGCGUCUGAUUAGCUAGUUGGAAGGGUAAAGGCCUACCAAGGCGACGAUCAGUAGCCGGUCUGAGAGGAUGAACGGCCACAUUGGAACUGAGACACGGUCCAAACUCCUACGGGAGGCAGCAGUGGGGAAUAUUGCACAAUGGGGGGAACCCUGAUGCAGCGACGCCGCGUGAGCGAAGAAGGUUUUCGAAUCGUAAAGCUCUGUCCUAUGAGAAGAUAAUGACGGUAUCAUAGGAGGAAGCCCCGGCUAAAUACGUGCCAGCAGCCGCGGUAAUACGUAUGGGGCGAGCGUUGUCCGGAAUUAUUGGGCGUAAAGGGUACGUAGGCGGUUUUUUAAGUCAGGUGUGAAAGCGUGAGGCUUAACCUCAUUAAGCACUUGAAACUGGAAGACUUGAGUGAAGGAGAGGAAAGUGGAAUUCCUAGUGUAGCGGUGAAAUGCGUAGAUAUUAGGAGGAAUACCGGUGGCGAAGGCGACUUUCUGGACUUUUACUGACGCUCAGGUACGAAAGCGUGGGGAGCAAACAGG